GGUUCGAUUAUGGCUCAGAUUGAACGCUGGCAGGAUGCUUUACACAUGCAAGUCGAACGGCAGCACGGACUUCGGUCUGGUGGCGAGUGGCGAGCGGGUGAGUAAUGUCGGAACGUGCCUAGUAGCGGGGGAUAACUGCGGCGUAGCUAAUACCACGCCGCCCUUCGGGGGAAAGCGGGGGACCUUCGGGCCUCGCACUAUUGAAACGACCGAUAUCGGAUUAGCUAGUUGGUGGGGUAACGGCUCACCAAGGCGACGAUCCGUAGCUGGUUUGAGAGGACGACCAGCCACUGGGACUGAGACACGGCCAGACUCUACGGGGAGGCAGCGGUGGGGGUACGGACAAUGGGGAAACCCUGAUCCAGCCAUCCCGCGUGUGCGAUGAAGGCCUUCGGGUUGUAAAGCACUUUGGCAGAGAAAACGGCACGGGAUAAACACCCCGUGCAACUGACGGUACCUGCAGAAUAAGCACAGCUAACUACGUGCCAGCAGCCGCGGUAAUACGUAGGGUGCAAGCGUUAAUCGGAAUUACUGGGCGUAAAGCGUGCGCAGGCGGUUCGGAAAGAAAGAUGUGAAAUCCCAGAGCUUAACUUUGGAACUGCAUUUUUAACUACCGAGCUAGAGUGUGUCAGAGGGAGGUGGAAUUCCGCGUGUAGCAGUGAAAUGCGUAGACUAUGCGAGGCACCGAUGGCAGGCAGCCUCUGGGACAACUGCAAACGCUCAUGCACAGCGAUGGGAGCAAACGGGAUUAGAUACCCUGGUAGUCCACGCCCUAAACGAUGUCAACUAGCUGUUGGGGCCUUCGGGCCUUGGUAGCGCAGCUAACGCGUGAAGUUGACCGCCUGGGAAGUACGGUCGCAAGAUUAAAACUCAAAAUUGACGGGGACCCGCACAAGCGGUGGAUGAUGUGGAUUAAUUCGAUGCAACGCGAAAACCUUACCUACCCUUGACUUCUUAGAUCGGGUGGGAGUGCUCGCAAGAGAACCGGAACACAGGUGCUGCAUGGCUGUCGUCAGCUCCGUGUCGUGAGAUGUUGGGUUGAAGUCCUGGCAGGCGCAACCCUUGUCAUUAGUUGCUACGAAAGGGCACUCUAAUGAGACUGCCGGUGACAAACCGGAGGAAGGUGGGGAUAGCGUCAAGUCCUCAUGGCCCUUAUGGGUAGGGCUUCACACGUCAUACAAUAUGGUCGGGACAGAGGGUCGCCAACCUGAGAGGGGAGCCAAUCAGAACCCGAUCGUAGUCCGGAUCGCAGUCUGCAACUCGACUGCGUGAAGUCGGAAUCGCUAGUAAUCGCGGAUCAGCAUGUCGCGGUGGUACGUUCCCGGGUCUUGUACACACCGCCCGUCACGCAUGGGAAUUGGGUUUCCUCAAGUAGUUAGCCUAACCGUAAGGAGGGCGAUUACCACGGUAGGAUUCAUGACUGGGGUGAGUGCGUAACAAGGUAG
RNAcentral lists this ribosomal RNA (1445 nucleotides) under uncultured Bordetella sp. RNAcentral's name for it is "partial 16S-23S ribosomal RNA intergenic spacer". It matches the Rfam family "Bacterial small subunit ribosomal RNA". The record is from RNAcentral. Lineage: Bacteria; Pseudomonadati; Pseudomonadota; Betaproteobacteria; Burkholderiales; Alcaligenaceae.